CAGAAGAGAAACCCUGUAACUGAAAUAAUCUCAUUGUACACCAGAAAACUAAUACUGAAUAGAAACCUUAUGAACGCACAGCAUGUGGCAGGGCACCCACAGAAAGCUGCUUUUUGCAUACAAAAUAAAAACAGUAAAUGUACACGGAAUGUCAUGAAUUCAGUGAGCCCGUCUGGAACCAAGCCUGCAGUUGUCUGAGGUACGUGUGUACGUGUAGCUGUCGAGUGAGGAUGGGGAAAAGUCACUGUGCCAGCUGCCUUCUUACAAGGUCAGUUUUCCUCUCCAGUUUCUUUAUGUGAAUGAACAUUAACCUGAAGAGAGUUGGGACCCUGGCAAUCACGGCUACACUUCAGGAGUAGCGUAUUGCAAACCACAGAUGUUUCUCUUUUUAAAUUUUUAAAAAAUGUUCACUUAUUUUGAGAGAGAGACAGAGUGUGCGCAGGGAAGGAGCAGAGAGAGGCGGAGCCACAGAACCUGAAGCAGGUUCUAACCUGCUUGGAGGCUCUGAGCUGUCAGCACAGAGCCUGACGUGCAGCUUGACCCCAUGAACCCUGAGAUCACAUCGGACGUUCCACCGACUGAGCUGCCCGGGCGCCCCUCAAGCCACAGAUACUCCUGAAUCCCCUCCCUCUUUGUCCUCUGUACUUGAGGAGGGAAUCCCACCAUUUACCCUCCUUUGAAGGAGGUGUUUAAUGAUUUCUGAAUGCCUGGUCCUUCCUGUGUUCAGCUCAUUACACAGGAUGCAAUCUAAAGAUCCCUGGAGUAAAGAAGGAUGAUUCACAGAAGAGAAGAGAAAGUUUGCAUGAGGGAAGAAUGUCAGAUACUUGAUCAAGUGUAUUCCCUAAAUCUGGAAAAUAUAAUGAGUAUGUGUUCUGUCAUAGAUGUUCCAAGGAAGAUUCACACAUAAUAAUGAAUUGUGUGAAUGUAUCGUGUGAUGCAAAUCCACAUGCAACCUUGCCCAGUAGAAAUGUUGAUAUAAUGUUGACAACAUUAUAAUGUUUCAACAACGUUGAAAUCAAAUACUGUGGGAAAGGCUAAUGCUAACAUUAAGUUCUUAAUCUUAAAAAGAAAAUAUGGGGCAACUGGUCAGUGUAGAGUGUGCAACUCUUGAUCUCAGGGUUGUGAGUUUGAACCCCAUGUUGCACGUAGAGAUUGCUUAAAAAUAAAAUAGGGGUGCCUGGGUGGCUCA
This 1189-nucleotide long non-coding RNA is filed under the name Felis catus (domestic cat). RNAcentral describes it as "lncRNA (ENSFCAG00000049582.1)". The record is from RNAcentral. Lineage: Eukaryota; Metazoa; Chordata; Mammalia; Carnivora; Felidae.